RNAcentral lists this ribosomal RNA (482 nucleotides) under uncultured bacterium. Its description in RNAcentral is "partial 16S ribosomal RNA". It matches the Rfam family "Bacterial small subunit ribosomal RNA", at positions 30 to 507 of the family's 1533-position model. The record is from RNAcentral.
AUUGAACGCUGGCGGCAUGCUUUACACAUGCAAGUCGAACGGUAACAGGCCGCAAGGUGCUGACGAGUGGCGAACGGGUGAGUAAUGCAUCGGAACGUGCCCAGUCGUGGGGGAUAACUACUCGAAAGAGUAGCUAAUACCGCAUACGAUCUAUGGAUGAAAGCGGGGGACCGUAAGGCCUCGCGCGAUUGGAGCGGCCGAUGUCAGAUUAGGUAGAUGGUGGGGUAAAGGUUCACCAAGCCAACGACCUGUAGCUGGUCUGAGAGGACGACCAGCCACACUAGGACUGGGACACGGCCCAGACUCCUACGGGAGGCAGCAGUGGGGAAUGUUGGACAAUGGGCGCAAGCCUGAUCCAGCAAUGCCGCGUGCAGGAAGAAGGCCUUCGGGUUGUAAACUGCUUUUGUACGGAACGAAACGGCUCUGGUUAAUACCCGGGGCUAAUGACGGUACCGUAAGAAUAAGCACCGGCUAACUACGUG